CAGUAGCCACGGUAAUACGUAGGGUGCAAGUGUUGUCCGGAGUUAUUGGGCGUAAAGAGCUCGUAGGCGGCCUGUCGCGUCGGCUGUGAAAACUCAGGGCUCAACCCUGAGCCUGCAGUCGAUACGGGCAGGCUAGAGUCCGGCAGGGGAGACUGGAAUUCCUGGUGUAGCGGUGAAAUGCGCAGAUAUCAGGAGGAACACCGGUGGCGAAGGCGGGUCUCUGGGCCGGAACUGACGCUGAGGAGCGAAAGCGUGGGGAGCGAACAGGAUUAGAUACCCCUGUAGUCCCUGUCUCUUAUAC
RNAcentral lists this ribosomal RNA (301 nucleotides) under uncultured bacterium. Its description in RNAcentral is "partial 16S ribosomal RNA". It matches the Rfam family "Bacterial small subunit ribosomal RNA", at positions 509 to 807 of the family's 1533-position model. The record is from RNAcentral.